Non-coding RNA from Acipenser ruthenus (sterlet), 88 nucleotides. Lineage: Eukaryota; Metazoa; Chordata; Actinopteri; Acipenseriformes; Acipenseridae. The record is from the annotation of a RefSeq genome assembly.
GCCCGGAUGAGCCUCGGUGGUCCGGGGUGCAGGCUUCAAACCUGGAGCUGCUUAGCGGCAGAGCGGCUCAAUUCCUCCUUGCGGGGUG